This 1435-nucleotide ribosomal RNA is filed under the name uncultured organism. Its description in RNAcentral is "16S ribosomal RNA". It matches the Rfam family "Bacterial small subunit ribosomal RNA". The record is from RNAcentral.
CAGGCUUAACACAUGCAAGUCGAGGGGCAGCAUUUCAGUUUGCUUGCAAACUGGAGAUGGCGACCGGCGCACGGGUGAGUAACACGUAUCCAACCUGCCGAUAACUCGGGGAUAGCCUUUCGAAAGAAAGAUUAAUACCCGAUGGUAUAAUCAGACCGCAUGGUCUUGUUAUUAAAGAAUUUCGGUUAUCGAUGGGGAUGCGUUCCAUUAGGCAGUUGGUGAGGUAACGGCUCACCAAACCUUCGAUGGAUAGGGGUUCUGAGAGGAAGGUCCCCCACAUUGGAACUGAGACACGGUCCAAACUCCUACGGGAGGCAGCAGUGAGGAAUAUUGGUCAAUGGGCGCAGGCCUGAACCAGCCAAGUAGCGUGAAGGAUGACUGCCCUAUGGGUUGUAAACUUCUUUUAUAUGGGAAUAAAGUUUUCCACGUGUGGAAUUUUGUAUGUACCAUAUGAAUAAGGAUCGGCUAACUCCGUGCCAGCAGCCGCGGUAAUACGGAGGAUCCGAGCGUUAUCCGGAUUUAUUGGGUUUAAAGGGAGCGUAGGUGGACAGUUAAGUCAGUUGUGAAAGUUUGCGGCUCAACCGUAAAAUUGCAGUUGAUACUGGCUGUCUUGAGUACAGUAGAGGUGGGCGGAAUUCGUGGUGUAGCGGUGAAAUGCUUAGAUAUCACGAAGAACUCCGAUUGCGAAGGCAGCUCACUGGACUGCAACUGACACUGAUGCUCGAAAGUGUGGGUAUCAAACAGGAUUAGAUACCCUGGUAGUCCACACAGUAAACGAUGAAUACUCGCUGUUUGCGAUAUACAGUAAGCGGCCAAGCGAAAGCAUUAAGUAUUCCACCUGGGGAGUACGCCGGCAACGGUGAAACUCAAAGGAAUUGACGGGGGCCCGCACAAGCGGAGGAACAUGUGGUUUAAUUCGAUGAUACGCGAGGAACCUUACCCGGGCUUAAAUUGCAUUUGAAUAUAUUGGAAACAGUAUAGCCGUAAGGCAAAUGUGAAGGUGCUGCAUGGUUGUCGUCAGCUCGUGCCGUGAGGUGUCGGCUUAAGUGCCAUAACGAGCGCAACCCUUAUCUUUAGUUACUAACAGGUCAUGCUGAGGACUCUAGAGAGACUGCCGUCGUAAGAUGUGAGGAAGGUGGGGAUGACGUCAAAUCAGCACGGCCCUUACGUCCGGGGCUACACACGUGUUACAAUGGGGGGUACAGAAGGCAGCUACCUGGUGACAGGAUGCUAAUCCCAAAAGCCUCUCUCAGUUCGGAUCGAAGUCUGCAACCCGACUUCGUGAAGCUGGAUUCGCUAGUAAUCGCGCAUCAGCCAUGGCGCGGUGAAUACGUUCCCGGGCCUUGUACACACCGCCCGUCAAGCCAUGAAAGCCGGGGGUACCUGAAGUACGUAACCGCAAGGAGCGUCCUAGGGUAAAACUGGUAAUUGGGGC